Molecule: small nucleolar RNA, 81 nt
Organism: Ipomoea nil (Japanese morning glory)
Lineage: Eukaryota; Viridiplantae; Streptophyta; Magnoliopsida; Solanales; Convolvulaceae
Source: Rfam
AGGCAGAUGAUGAUUUGUAUAUUAUUUGAGCUGAUGUAUAGAUGAGGCUUCAAAAUUCGAGCUUUUUAAAACUGAUGCCUU